CCUACGGGAGGCAGCAGUGGGGAAUCUUGCGCAAUGGGCGAAAGCCUGACGCAGUGACGCCGCGUGGGUGACGAAGGCCUUCGGGUCGUAAACCUCUGUUGUAUUGGACGAAGGAUGUGACGGUACCUAAUGAAUAAGCCACGGCUAACUACGUGCCAGCAGCCGCGGUAAUACGUAGGUGGCAAGCGUUGUCCGGAUUUACUGGGUGUAAAGGGCGUGUAGGCGGAUAGGCAAGUCAGAUGUUAAAGAUCCAGGCUUAACUUGGAAAGGUCAUCUGAAACUGCAUAUCUUGAGUGUCGGAGAGGAAAGCGGAAUUCCUAGUGUAGCGGUAAAAUGCGUAGAUAUUAGGAGGAACACCGGUGGCGAAGGCGGCUUUCUGGACGACAACUGACGCUGAGGCGCGAAAGCGUGGGUAGCAAACAGGAUUAGAUACCCCUGUA
RNAcentral lists this ribosomal RNA (440 nucleotides) under uncultured bacterium. Its description in RNAcentral is "bacterial SSU rRNA". It matches the Rfam family "Bacterial small subunit ribosomal RNA", at positions 338 to 792 of the family's 1533-position model. The record is from RNAcentral.